AUUGAACGCUGGCGGCAGGCUUAACACAUGCAAGUCGAACGAGUGGCGGACGGGUGAGUAAUGCUUGGGAAUCUGGCUUAUGGAGGGGGAUAACGACGGGAAACGGUCGCUAAUACCGCGUACCAUAGGAUGAGCCCACGUGGGAUUCGGUAGUUGGUGGGGUAAUGGCCUAAAAAGCCGACGAUGUCUUGCUGGUCUGAGAGGAGGACCAGCCACACCGGGACUUAGACACGGCCCGGACUCCUUCGGGAGGCAGCAGUGGGGAAUAUUGCGCAUUGGGGGCAACCUGACGAAGCCAUGCCGCGGGAAUGAAGAAGGCCUUCGGGUUGUAAAGUUCUUGCAGUUAUGAGGCGUUAAUCACAGAAGAAGCACCGGCUAACUCCGUGCCAGCAGCCGCGGUAAUUC
This 405-nucleotide ribosomal RNA is filed under the name uncultured bacterium. RNAcentral's name for it is "partial 16S ribosomal RNA". It matches the Rfam family "Bacterial small subunit ribosomal RNA", at positions 30 to 526 of the family's 1533-position model. The record is from RNAcentral.